Molecule: long non-coding RNA, 1227 nt
Filed under: Homo sapiens (human)
Lineage: Eukaryota; Metazoa; Chordata; Mammalia; Primates; Hominidae
Description: HSALNT0400955
Source: RNAcentral
GGCCUCAGUCCUUCGCCGUCCCUCGCCGUCCUUCGCCAUCGCACGCCACCGCACCCCAUCUCUCGAAAUCUGCAGACAUCUUGAUUUUUCCCACGCUGUCUGUCAGGUCUCCGCCGCCACUCGACGCCAGGGCGCCGGGUGAGUCCACAGCAGGGCGCAUGGUCGGCUCCACUCUCACCAUCGGGGGAAACUGAGGCCCCGGGGAAGGCGGCCAGAGAGGUCAGGCCCUGUCCUUGGUGCAGUGUCUCGUCCUCUUUGCCGGAGUGAGCCCCCCAGGAUUCGCGUGUCCUCGGGAAAGACACUGGCAGGCCUUGUGGGCUGUGCUGCACCUCGGACGGCUUCGCACCAGCCAGCGCCCUCUCUCUCCUGCAGCACUCUGAUCUGCACCCCCUGAGGGGCUUCCACUGUCCGCGGGGUGAGAAUGCCCCUGGGAGUGUCACAUGACUGCCGCCCCAUGUGUGUGAGAGGCGUCCUCUGGGAGAGCAUGGAUCCUGAGGUCCCAGGAACAUCCCGAGAGCCAAGUUCCCAGAUGCCAGCCAAGGGCCAUCUGACCUGUUUUGAAUCUCAAUUUCCUGAUACAGAAAACAAAGGAUUGUCAGCUGACCUCUGUCCUGUGUGCCCAGUGGCCCCAGGUGACGUGUCUUCAAGAAGAGGCUGAGCUGCGGUGCUUGUAAGAGUCAUGUGCUGUUCCUGGGGCUUGGAUGAUGUAGGGGAAGCAAGGUGAAAGUGGUAUCCCGUGGUUCCACGUUCUGUCCUGCUGUGGGGCUGUCCCUCACAUGCUUUCAGUGGCUGUUGCAGAGGAAGAGCCUCCGGAAAUCUGCGUGGGUCUCAGCCUUAGAUCCAAGGACAGUCCAAGGAAGUCCUAAGACCAUGGAGUUGGUGAUCUGGGAUCUGGGUUUGCUGAUAUUUCUCACCGUGAAUCUCUUGGUGGUGUUUGUGGGCACGAGAGGGGCAGAGAAUGGAGAGUGAGGCUACCACAUGAAGCGUCACCAGAGCUGCUCCCUGCUGCCUGCUCAGAGCACCCCGGAUCCACUGUUCAAUCUGCACAAGAUUCGGGGUCCAGACAUGGGAGACUUCAGCUGCCUCAGAGGACCGUGGACAGGGAAGGCCAGCCUCGCAUCCCUCUGUCCAUGCCUGGAAUGACUUUAAUAACCAAGAGUUUUAUUUUUGAAUUUGUAGCUGUCGUUCACUUUUUACCCACCCAUUCAAUAAACCUUACAGAAUUGC